UUCAAAACAGCGUCUUGUUUGUAGCUUCUUGAAUAGAUUUUCAUCGUUAACUCUCAACAGUCUACAGGUUCAGUAUCAUUCGAGCGAGUGUUAAUAGACUUAUUUCGUGUACACUGCAAUUUCAACAAAAAAUAUGGAAAUCUUAGCGGCUGAAGUAACUUCUUCAGACCAUUAUUCUGUACAUCUUAACUGGUCUUCCUCUCUGCUUCAAUUCAAAUAUAAGCUUUUAUGUGAAACAGAGAGAAUCUAUACUGUGGUACAGAAAAUCGAGGGUAGUAUUGCAGAGGAGGACAAGUGGCAGAUUGCAUAUAUAGGAUAUGGUGAACAUACAGUUGUGAUGAAUCUUAAUCCAAGUCAAGAGUACCUGUUUAGAAUUCGAUUUCAUCGAAGUGAUGAUAAUUACUCUGCCUGGUCACCUUCAACAAAAGCCAUCACAGAAAAAGAACCAUACUAUGGUGAGAACUUACAUGACGCUGUGAGCCAACAGAAAUUUCAAGAAAUUCAUGAUGUGUUACAAUCUGGAAAUGUCAAAAUUGAUGUGCCAGAUAAUGAAGGUCUAAGUGCAUUAAUGAAUACAGCAAGACAAGACCAAACUGAAAUUAUGAAAAUACUCUUGUCCUUUAAUGCUUCUGUUAAUGCUAAAGAUGAUAGUGGGAAAACAGCUUUAAUGCAUGCCUGUAUCCAUGGUCAGCUGGCAGCUGUGAAGAUCCUGGUCCAAAAUGGUGCACUCUAUGAAGAUUUUGAUUUGGGUGGGUCUGCUCCAUUGCAUUAUGCUGUUGAUAGCUGUGACUCUGACCUAAUUGAAUGGAUGAUCAGGAAUGGAGCAGAUGUGAAUAUUCAAGAUAAAAAUGCUCAUUGGACUCCAUUGAUGCGAUGCGCUUCUCUAAAUGGUAACAAAUUAAUUGCUCUUACGUUGAUCCGCAAUGGAGCUGACAUUGAUCUCAGGGAUAUUGAUGGCAAGACUUGUUUAAUGAUUGCUGUCAUCAAUGGCUAUCAAAAGUUGGUGGAUGUUCUCUUGGAUAACAAUGCUAAUAUUGUAAUAUACAAUAAGAAUGGUCAUACUGCAUAUGAAUUGGCCAUGUCACUUGAAAAAGAUUCAAUAAUAGAGAGCCUGAUGAAAUUUAUGAAAAAGCAAAAAAUUGAGUGUUGCUAAGAAGUCAAGGUGUAAUGUGAACAUUGCACAACUUAUGAAAUCUAGCUGAUGAUAGCCCUGCAUUUAAAUUGAUGUAAUGAUUGCAUUGUUCAAUUAAACGGAGCUGCUUGAAACGGUCGUACUGCAUCACUUCUUGAUAUCCUGUUGCUUAUUUUGAUAUAUAUAUAUAUGAAUUGAAUUGAAUUGAACCAAUUUCAUUGCAUGAGCUGUGGUCAUGCUGGGGCAUUGCCAUGUGGUUUUGAAUUGUGAUAACAAGCUGGAAGUGGAUUUGGAGUGGCCUUUCCAUAUUUUUCUUUAUUUCUGUGUCUUUAUACCUUACAAUUCAAUGUGCACAUGGAUGGACAGAAUCAUCUUUUGCCUGCUUUGUCUCUCUUAAAUAAUCUACUAGACAUUGGUGAGAGUGUUACGUCUCUGUAAUUAGACCUGUGCUUCUGAAACAUAUUACUUCAGUGUCACUGAAUCUUGCAUACUUUUCUAUCCUUAAACUCAAAGUUGAACAGAAGUGGACAACUUGACCUGUAAUAUAAUUCUAUCUUGUAAAAUUCUUACAAAACCAAUUGAAACAAUUUUAACAUAUUUCAAUAGUAUUGUUGCAAAUAAAGUUAUUUUUCUUCACUAAUAAACUACCAUAUUCAUCUGGAA
Octopus bimaculoides (California two-spot octopus) is the source of this 1795-nucleotide RNA transcript. It is a transcript of the gene named fibronectin type 3 and ankyrin repeat domains protein 1, with no coding region annotated. NCBI's taxonomy places the organism in Eukaryota, Metazoa, Mollusca, Cephalopoda, Octopoda, Octopodidae. The record is from RefSeq and is a predicted model, not a curated record.